GGUAUAGCUCAGUGGUUAGAGCAGUCGGCUCAUAACCGAUUGGUCGCUGGUUCAAGUCCAGCUACC
Molecule: transfer RNA, 66 nt
Filed under: human oral metagenome
Rfam family: tRNA
About the family: Transfer RNA (tRNA) molecules are approximately 80 nucleotides in length. Their secondary structure includes four short double-helical elements and three loops (D, anti-codon, and T loops).
Source: RNAcentral